This 572-nucleotide ribosomal RNA is filed under the name uncultured Glomeromycotina. Its description in RNAcentral is "SSU rRNA". It matches the Rfam family "Eukaryotic small subunit ribosomal RNA", at positions 548 to 1114 of the family's 1831-position model. Lineage: Eukaryota; Fungi; Glomeromycota. The record is from RNAcentral.
UUGGAGGGCAAGUCUGGUGCCAGCAGCCGCGGUAAUUCCAGCUCCAAUAGCGUAUAUUAAAGUUGUUGCAGUUAAAAAGCUCGUAGUUGAAUUUCGGGAUUGACGUAAUGGUCGUGCCUUAAGGGGUAUGAACUGUUACUGUUGAUUUCUCACCUUCUGGAGAAGCUUGAUGUCAUUAAUUGGGUGUCUUGCGGAUCCAGGACCUUUACCUUGAAAAAAUUAGAGUGUUUAAAGCAGGCAUUUUUGCUCGAAUACAUUAGCAUGGAAUAAUAGAAUAGGACGGCAUGGCUCCAUUUUGUUGGUUUCUAGGAUCACCGUAAUGAUUAAUAGGGAUAGUUGGGGGCAUUAGUAUUCAAUUGUCAGAGGUGAAAUUCUUGGAUUUAUUGAAGACUAACUACUGCGAAAGCAUCUGCUAAGGAUGUUUUCAUUAAUCAAGAACGAAAGUUAGGGGAUCGAAGACGAUCAGAUACCGUCGUAGUCUUAACCAUAAACUAUGCCGACUAGGAAUCAGGCGAUGUUAAUUUUUUAAUGACUCGUUUGGCACCUUACGGGAAACCAAAGUGUUUGGGUUC